Molecule: ribosomal RNA, 253 nt
Filed under: uncultured bacterium
Lineage: Bacteria
Description: partial 16S ribosomal RNA
Rfam family: Bacterial small subunit ribosomal RNA
Source: RNAcentral
UACGAAGGGGGCUAGCGUUGUCCGGAUUUACUGGGCGUAAAGCGCACGUAGGCGGACUUUUAAGUUGGGGGUGAAAUGCCGAGGCUCAACUGCGGAACUGCCUCUAAAACUGGGAGUCUUGAGGUAUGGAGAGGGAAGUGGAAUUCCAGGUGUAGCGGUGAUAUGCGUAGAUAUCUGGAGGAACACCCGUGGCGAAGGCGGCUUCCUGGUCAUAUCCUGACGCUGAGGUGCGAAAGCCAGGGGAGCGAACGGG